UGCUCUUUGGGUGCGAGUGCCGACGGGUAGGAAUACAUCGGAAUCUACCUUUUCGUGGGGAUAACGUAGGGAAACUUACGGCUAAUACCGCAUACGACCUUCGGGUGAAAGCAGGGGACCUUCGGGCCUUGCGCGGAUAGAUGAGCCGAUGUCGGAUUAGCUAGUUGGCGGGGUAAAGGCCCACCAAGGCGACGAUCCGUAGCUGGUCUGAGAGGUUGUUCUGCCAACACUGGAAAUGAGGCGCGGUCCAGACUCCUACGGGAGGCAGCAGUGGGGAAUAUUGGACAAUGGGCGCAAGCCUGAUCCAGCCAUACCGCGUGGGUGAAGAAGGCCUUCGGGUUGUAAAGCCCUUUUGUUGGGAAAGAAAAGAGAACAGUUAAUACCUGGUUGUUCUGGCGGU
This 400-nucleotide ribosomal RNA is filed under the name uncultured bacterium. RNAcentral's name for it is "bacterial SSU rRNA". It matches the Rfam family "Bacterial small subunit ribosomal RNA", at positions 79 to 476 of the family's 1533-position model. The record is from RNAcentral.